AGGGUGGAUCCGCUUUGUAUUCGACUUCUGGAGGGAAAAAGCUUAGCGGGGCGGGAGUGUAGACGGGAAUGUGCAACAGAUCCAGGAUCAAUAGGAUUGAGCCUCCAGGAUGUGACUGGUGUUCUUGUAAGAAGAGAAGAGUUACACAGGCACACGGGGAAAGUCCAUAUGAAGAUGGAGGCGGAGUCUGCAAACCAAGAAAACCCGGGGAUUGUGAGCGAGGAUGAGAAACAAAGAAGAGGCGUGAAACAGAUUCUCCCUCAGAGCCUCCAAAAAGGAACCAACUCCUAGUCUCCAAAAACUGAGGAGAGAAUAAGUGUCUCUUGUUUUAAGCUAUCCAGUUUGUGGCAAUUUGUUUCAGCAGCCCUGGGAAAAUACAGAGGGCCUUAUGCAGACCUGGGAUGGCCUGUACAGUGCUUCAACACACAAGGAACUCGAAUCAUUUAUGAUCGAAAGUUUCUGUUGGAUCGUCGCAACUCUCCCAUGGCUCAGACCCCACCCUGCCAUCUGCCCAACAUCCCAGGAGUCACCAGCCCUGGCACCUUAAUUGAAGACUCCAAAGUAGAAGUAAACAAUUUGAACAACUUGAACAAUCAUGACAGGAAGCAUGCAGUUGGGGAUGAUGCUCAGUUUGAGAUGGACAUCUGACUGUCCUACGAGGAUCAGAAGAAAAGCAGUAACACCGAUAGCUGUGUGUACAUGAUUUGGCGGAUGGGAUCAACAAUGCAGAGAUGGAAGAGGCAGUACCAGCAGUCCCCGUUGCAGUCUCCACCUCCUCCUGGUGCCAAAGGAUGCGAAGAUAAGCCGCAUCCAGCCAUUUCUUAUCCCUGUUUCCUGUUCCCCUUCUCACUUAGACAGUUAGAUUGAAGGCCCUUGUCAUAUUUCUGUAGAACUAAGCAGCCCACAGAGGAAAACGGUUAAACUCUGGUUCUCUCCCCUGCCCCCAUUUUUUAAAAAAUCCCCAAUCAAAUAUCAACCUACCAAUAACUGGCUGGCUGGGAAGUCUGGGGACGUGAUAGGGAGGUUGGAUGGGUUCCGCAGCAUUCGUAUUCUUACCCUCUCUGUCUCUCCUUGUCUUGCUCAUGGUUCACUGCUGCAGGAGUCUGAGUUUGGGGUCCUGAAAACCAUUAGAGGGAAAUGGUAAACAGGAAGAGAGCUGCUUUCCCUUUUCCCUUGAAGUGUUUGUCCUUGGGGACAGAGCACUGUUCGUACAACUCUAGUAGCAUUACUCUGUGGCACUGUUUUGAGGUCCACUUCCCCUCCUUCCUCUGGGAGGAAUGUCUUCAGUCUUUAGUAUUAUAAUUCAUCUUCCCAUUCCUUUACUUAGCAUGUUUGUGCAAACAUUUCUUAACUGUGCAUCAGAAGGGAGUCCUCAGUCACCAGCUCUUCCUUCCUCCCCUUCUCCCAUUCUUCCCUGCUUUGUAUCUUGUUGCUUGCAAGUCCUUUUGUAUGCUGAGCUAUCCAGCUGGUUUCACCUGCUCCUAAAGCAGGUCCCUACCACGUGACAAGGUGCUUUGGAUGAGGCCCGGAUCGUAGUAUUCUGCAGGAUGCUACCCUGCAGGGUGAUGACCUUGGAAGAUGUCGCACUGUUUGAGUGCACUCAAACAGUCCAGUGAGCAUUGUGAUAGUUGUUCUCUCUGAUUGCAGUUUCUUAUAUUUUGAACUUAAAGUUGACUUUCAGAGUGUUUGUAGAACAGAGCUAGACUUUUUUCCUUUGUGGACCUGCUUUGUUUGGCUGCUGGGAUAGAUAAGCAUGGGUUAAAAAUGUGUUCUUCCCAAUUUUCCAGCCUUUCCCAUGGUACUCUGAAUUCCUUCCCCCUCCCUCCCUCCCUUUCUCUUUCCCCUUUCUCUGCAAGGCCAUUUUUCAGAUGUACAUCCAGGAUACCUCAAGUGUUGGUAUCUGAUAAUAUCUGGCCCUCCUCUUAUCUGAGGAGUGACCUUUUAUUUUUAAGAUGAGUACAGACCUAUUUUUAGAUAUGUUUUCAGUACAAUUUUGAACAGCAACUUUUUACUUAUACAUCUUCCAGUGUUGGGAAGGUGAGAAAUGUCCUUAGGCGAGUCUGCUGUUCCAUGUCACCUACCUUUGUCUCCCCAGUCCCUUAUGAGCUCUUUUCUUCUCCCUCAAGUUUUGGGUGUGCAUGUUUGGAGUUUGUAGUGGGUGGUUUGUGAAACUGGACCGUUCUGCCUUCCCUGGGUUGUUCACAGAAGCCUCGUUCUUUUACCCUUUGCUGCUUCCUUCCCCACUAAGAGGUCCUGACUGUUGACUGGCACUGUAAUCCCGGGAGAGUGACUCCCCUUAUAGAAAUAUAAGUAAAAUAGCCACUGGUAUCCUGGGAAUUCCUGGUUGUAUUUGGUGCCCUGAACCCUCUUAUUAAGAGAUCAGAUCCCGGGGUAAGAGUAACAGGCCAGUUGGCUAAUAAAGAAAGCUGUUUGGUUUUCUUUUGAGCUACGAAAAGACCCUGUUUGCAAAUACAUUUUUGCAAAUACAUUCUGCAAAUACAGAAGAGAGGAAGGAUAUCCAAGGAACUUUGUUCUGUUUUCUGCUACAAAAUGUGAAUAGUUCAAAGAGUGAAACCUUUUGUGAUGGUUGAUGUCUCUCAGGAAUAAGCUGGAUCUCCAGUUUUGGAGAUGCUUUCAAUCUCAAAAAUUGAUGAUCAGAAAAGUAUUUUUUGUUUGUUUGUUUAAUGUAUCUCUGUUCUGAUUUUAAUUAAACUACAAAUUUCAUUUUACAUAUUCUUGGGAAAACCUAAGGUGCAUUGGGAGCUUGAUUCUUCAGGAAUGAAGCUUUCAUUCUUCUCAAACCCCAACCUUGGCACCCUGUGGAAUAUUACCCAGCUACAGCAAGUAGUUGGUCUGUCAGUGAGUGGAAGUGUUUCCCUGGCUUGGUAUUAAUUGGUGUGAAAAUUCGUCUGGCUCACUGAGCAACAGGGAAUGAAUUGGAAGACCUGCUGACUUGAGUAGGCUCCAGAUGCCAUUUUCUCCUUUUUUGCUAUCCUAAGGAAUCUCUGCACAUGGCCCCCUAAUCAGAGGCCACACUUGUAGUAUUUUGGGGGAGCAUCAUCUAUGUCAUAUAGCAGCUGCCAAACCCCUUAGCUGUCUCAGUAAGGACCCUCUUUACUGCUCGGGGCAAUUAAUUGUUCCCCAGAGGCCAUUACUCUGGAGAUUGUUCGGCCUCCGAAAUCUGUGUUUUUUGGGGUUUGUUUGUUUAAAGGCUGCACCUGCGGCAUAUGGAGGUUCCUACACUAGGGGUCGAAUCGGAGCUACAGCUGCCUGCCUGUGCCAGAGCCACAGCAGUGCCAGGUCCUCAGCCCCCUGAGUGAGGCCAGGGAUCAAACCCACAGCCUCAAGGUUCCUAGUUGAAUUCGUUUCUGCUGCACCAUGACAGGAUCUCCCAAAAAUCUAUGUUUUAAAGAUAAUCUCACAAGGCAAUAGGUAACACCUGAAAAUUCGGCCUCAUAGAUUCAUUUUCAGGGCAAGCCAGAAUCCAGUAGGUGGUUUAUUCCUGGAUGUUUGAGAGGAUCUCACAGUUGAAACCCUAAAUGAACGGUAUACCUGGGCUUUUUCCUGGAGCAGGAACGCCCUUAAGAUAUCAUUUGUGUGAGACAAUUCUUAAAAUUGUAGUGAUUAUUUGUACUUUUCUUUUUAUGAGAAAACCAUGUUUCCGUACUUCUGGGAUAAUCCAUCUGAAUGCGAAAGGACCUUCUCCCUCCAAAUUCCAGCAGGAGACAUGCAUUGUCAUGAUUCUGCCUCCUUCAUAGGGUGAUGUAUUGAGUUCACCAUUUCCCUGUAUUCUGUUUAAAUAGCUGUAGUGUUCUCAAGAGCACCUUGUAGAGAAGCUGGCUUCUAGCUGUUAGGCUUCCAAGCCGAGUUUUAUCUUUUCACCUGUGUAAGUUAUCUAUUGCUAUUUAAUAGAUUACCCCCAAUUAAAAAUCUUAAAAGAGCAAGCAUUAUCAGUCAGUUUCUGUGGUUAGGAGCUGGGAAACAGCCUAGCCUGGUGGUUCUGACACAAAGUCAUAGGAAGUUGUAGUCAAGAGUCCUCAGGGCCUGCAGUCACCUAGGGCUUAAGAAUCCACUUCUGAGCUCUCUGACAGUCUCUGAAAGCACACGCCAGCACUCCUUCCUCAUCCUGUCCCUUAACAACAAGCCACUACGCCCAUCCUGCACUCGGGGAGGGGACUACCCCUGCCCUGAUGAAUGGAGCAGGACCAAAGCAUUUGUGGUAGUACCUUAAAACGCCUCACCUCCAACAGAGGGCGAACCCAGGUCAGGAGGGGGUAGCUUUAAAUUAGAUGACGUACUGAGAGAGGUACUGUUACUGAAGACAGUUCUCUAAGACAUGAGUUGAAAAACAUAAAAAACAGACUCUCUCCUCACGGCCACCUGCCAGUUAUGAGGGGGUGGCAAGAAAUGGCAAUCCCCAGGAGAAUAUAUCUAUACGUUUGCCUGAUGUAUACUACCAGCAACCCAAGGAUGCAUUGCAAGUCCUUGUUCUGGUAUCUCUAAGACUCGGUACCACUUCCUUACUGUCCCCUCAGCCAGGUGUUGACAGAGGGAAUUGGAUUCUUCUAAUUGAGCCACUCCAGUGGACUUCACUGGAGUUAGGGUUGUUAAGCAAAGGGAGCAAACAUGAAUUAGCUCUAGGGUUAUUGGGCUAAAGAAAAGCUAACUGUUCAGAUUCAGGGUGAUGGGGCUCACAGCAUCUGAAAGCCAGGUCCCCAUGAGAGUCAAUCCUUGGCAUCUGCUCUCGAAAACCACACUGGUUGAAGCAGACUUGGGUUGGGUCUCUCACCCGAGAAGCCACUUCUUUCUUAAUAAGAAUGGAACAUCUGGGAAGUAGAAUGUCUGCUUGAUUCUUUAACUCCAGUGUGCAGCUUAACUCUUCAUGCCCUCCUCAUCCUGGCCUUCGUGAUGGAAAUGGGUUCUUAAAGAGCACCAGUCCUGUCUUCACGCUCAAGGGAAACUCAGAUGAGGCUCGUCAGUUCAACACAUUCUUAGUGAAUGUCUGCUGUUUCUGGCACCCACGCCCAACCAAGUUUAUUAAGUUUCCAGACAUCUUAAGAAUGCAAAUUCUUGUUUGGAUUUAUGUUCCGCCUCUUCCCCACAUUUUCUUAUCUAUAGCCCUGCUUUCUUUAAAGAGUAUACUUGAAUGAGAAAGCAUUGCUGCUGAGGCAGCUAUUUUUAAAAAGGUACUUCUUCCAGGAGUAAGGAACUUAUCUUUAAAGCACCUUCAAAUGAAAUUUUUCCUUCCGAUAUUGAGAUGGAGUCAAAAUAAAUGGUCUUUGUUUAUGCUGUUUGAGUUACCAGCUCUUUGGGUCUCUCAGACUUCACUCCCCAGUUCAGAUAGUUCCUGCUAGAGGUGUAGGCUCCACUCAGAGGCCAUUGCACAGCCAGUACACGUUGACUGCCUGCUUGGAUCAAGACACCUCAUGUAAGGUGCUCAUAAAGUGCUCAUCGUGUUGGCAGCAGUAUCCCAGAAACAAUUUUUCCCUCCUCCUCACCUUGGAGGUGUGAUGAGGUGUCAAGUGUCUUGGCUGCUUGAAGCUAGGGGCCCUCAGCCCUCUGCACUCCCUUCUAGACAGGAGGCCCAUUGCUUUGCUCUCUGGGUCAGAAUUUCCCCUUCUCGGCAUGUUUCUGGACCACAUGCCUGUGGACAGCUAUUUAUUAACCGCGAAACCCAAUCUCUUACCAACCCAUGACGUCUGGUGGGGGAUAGUAUUUGUUUUAAAGAAGCAUUGUUUCUUUGGGGAGGGGGCAAACUUCUGUCUGGACUUUGAAGGGGACAUAGUUACCAUUCAUUACCACCUACCCCCCAACAACUCUUUUCUUUACCUCUCAGCUUUUAAUAAAAGAUGACAUCAGAUCUUGAGGCAAUUGGGUCACAAUAUUUUAGAAUGCUUAUUCCCCAGGGCAUUUUCUGUUCUAGUCAUAUUUUUCCAGUCGAGUAAUAGAGUUUCUGAGACUAGCUCACCGACGGCGAGGCUAGGGUGAUUGAUACAGUCAUUCGUGUCACCUUUCCCACCCCCCGGAAUUAAUGUUUCUCUCUCUGGACUGGUCUUGGAAGUUGAUACCUUUUGGCAAAGCUUAGCUUUAGGAGAAGUCUUUCAAGCCCUGUUCAGUCGAUCUGUGGUUUCUCCUUGCUUCCUCUGCCAGCAGCCCUGGCCAGCCACACUGUGUGGAUCCCAAGUGGAAAACAGCAGAGAUGAAACACAUUCCUGGGGUAUUUAAACUCUCACUCUGCCACCUUUCCAAGAGUGGGAGGCUGGCAGGGAGAUGCUGCAAUGCUUGAUAAUCAUUUGGCCACAUUGAAAUUUCCAAAGGGAGCUUUUGCUGGUGCUUAAAACCAAAAUUCCUGGACAUGUAAGAUUGAAUGAAUCUAGCACAAAAUAUCCAUUCUUGCCCCAGUGUACCCCCUUCCUCUCUGUCUUAAGCUUAAAAAAAAAAGAAAAAGAAAAAGAAAAAGCCCAGGCCAAGGGUAAUUUUUACUUGAAACCAGGAGAGUGGGGGAGGAACACUAGAGAUGAGGGGCGAGCUGUGCAGGGAGUCAUCCUGCUCCUGGUGUCUGUUCCAGUCACUGAGGACUGUCAGCCAGUGCCUUUCCUUCGCCUGGAGAUGGAGCCCAUCUCUUUCCACUGGGUGAGGAGACCCUUUCUAACCAGGGGUGACCCUUAAAGAGGGUGUCUGGGAGAGCCCAGAGGACACUCACAUAUUUGGGUGUCUAUUUUAAGCAUCCUUAAAAUAUUUUAUAUAUUAAAAAAAACAAAAAACAAAAAAAA
Molecule: long non-coding RNA, 6773 nt
Filed under: Sus scrofa (pig)
Lineage: Eukaryota; Metazoa; Chordata; Mammalia; Artiodactyla; Suidae
Description: lncRNA (ENSSSCG00005013732.1)
Source: RNAcentral